This is a non-coding RNA of Triticum urartu, 747 nucleotides long. The record is from RefSeq and is a predicted model, not a curated record. Lineage: Eukaryota; Viridiplantae; Streptophyta; Magnoliopsida; Poales; Poaceae.
GCGUCGACCCGAGCAGUUGCGAGAGCGAAUGAAGCUGCGGUUGCACAGACAAGCUUGUGGAGGUGUCAGUAUGCACGCAUGCGUCCCUGAUUUGGAGCACGCCUCUGGCCUGGUAGGAUUCUCGCUCUGCCCCGACCUCAAGGGUGUUCGUCUAUCUGUGUCGUGCUCGGGACGAUGCACUAAUGCAGGGAGAGAGUACGAUUUUUUAACACAAUCUGCAGUACCCGUGAGCCUGCCCAUAGAUUGUCUGCUAUAUUACCAAGUGCGCUGAAGGAAAAGCUGCUGCCACUGUUGAUGACCACUCUAGGUGAUAUAAUUCAUGUUUGCUUUGUUGUUUCAGUAACUUCCUGUAGCAUAUUGGUUCCAUCUUUUUUUUGCAUCAUGGUACAUUAUUCUCAUCUUGAUAUAUAUAAUUUGGUCAACUGAAGAUUUGAGUGCAGGGUAGAAUUCUUGGUUGAUUUUAGAAUUUCGUUGUUGAUUACUUGGCCAACAGACUUUUAUGAAAUUCAAGGCGUCAUUUAGUGUACUAUAUGUCAUAUUUGUCUUAUUUCUAUACUCACAAUAUUUCGGCAUCGUCUAAACAAAUGAUGCUAAAUUGAUAUAAUCAUUUUGGAUCAGUGUCAUCUUCUCAAUGCUGAACAGCCAAAAUAUAUACAUAGUGAGCAGUUCACCGCACAUGCUCAUACGUCAUAUUUAUGUACUGUUUAACAUGGCAAAAAUUGGUCAAAUAUUUAAAUAUUUCUACUG